Molecule: transfer RNA, 69 nt
Filed under: Amblyomma marmoreum
Lineage: Eukaryota; Metazoa; Arthropoda; Arachnida; Ixodida; Ixodidae
Description: tRNA-Leu
Source: RNAcentral
AUUAAAGUGACAGAUAAAUGUAAGGAAUUUAAGCUUCCUCUAUGAGUAUAAUUUUAUACCCCUUUAAUA